This 922-nucleotide long non-coding RNA is filed under the name Volvox carteri. RNAcentral's name for it is "long non-coding RNA (VCAR_LNC001708)". The record is from RNAcentral. Lineage: Eukaryota; Viridiplantae; Chlorophyta; Chlorophyceae; Chlamydomonadales; Volvocaceae.
CCUCGUCCCGAUUGAGAUGUCGAAUUCAUCCUGUGGCAUCUUCAGCUGCUCGUAAAACUCUGCCCAGAAGCGGCGCGGCCACGUUUCCAUCGCACGCAGCCAUCCCUUUCUAGGCUUUAAUCACCCGAACCUCCGCCCUCACCAAACUGCAUUGGACAUAUAAGGCAUUUUUGUGUUUUGCGCAUAGUGCGCAGCAGGCAGCACCUCCGAUACCUUUUGAAGGGUAUUACUUAAAGGGUACUACUUAAGCAACGUCUCACCGUCUGGAAAGGACCGCAGGAGGGGAAGGCAUUGAAGGAAGUCGAGGCUGGAUCGCUGGGCGCGCUGUAUGUGCAACAUCUCUCUAUGUCCAAAAUGCCAAACAUUUUCUUAUCCUCCCCUAGACUGUAACAAUCGCAUCUCCCCUAGAUUUCCUUCCAGUAGGGAUGGCCUCCAAACAUGCUUCUAUAAUCACGUGGAAUGGUGCCCUUCUUUUGCUCACGUUGCCUGGAGACAUUGUACUUGCAGCCCUCUUGCAGCGCUGGAGCGGGCGCUACCUCCGACGACGUUUCGGCCCACGGGUCAGGUGCAGUAAUGGAAGCAGGGAACUACUGCUCUACUUACUUCUUAUAUUCAUGCAGAACAUGUUCUCCUUAGCGGUUUAAUGAGAGUUUAGUCUGCUCGCAGCGGUCUGGAGAUCCGGUCAAGUCGUAUGUGCGCACGUACUUGUCGUAAAAAAUCCCGAGGAGGUCGCACAGCAGUUCCGUCCCUUCCGCGAUGUAGUAGCGCCGAAUUUCUGUUCUGAGUUCUGGCCGGUAUCAAGGAACUUUGCAGUAGCUUCAUGUUGCUUGCAGAGCAAAAUACGCGCGAGCCGCAAAGCCGUGUCGGAUCGAACAGCUUCCACUCGGCUCACAUGGGAUAUAUCAAUUUUAAUCCGGAGUUG